Molecule: long non-coding RNA, 3680 nt
Organism: Pan troglodytes (chimpanzee)
Lineage: Eukaryota; Metazoa; Chordata; Mammalia; Primates; Hominidae
Exons: 5
Source: RefSeq, a predicted model, not a curated record
CAUUUAGAAGCUUGCUAAAAAUGUAGCAAGAGGCCAGGAUUAUUUUUAGUUGGAAAAGCUUCAUUUACUUCUCACAAGAUUUAGCUCUGUGGCCUGUUGUGCUUCAAUUUCGUCAUCUUCAAAACCAGGAAGAGCUAUAUUCAUCUUAUCUCACAAAGCUGAUUAACAUAAAUGAAGGAGCCUUGGAAAAUGGAAAGCAUUAUACAAAUAAACAUAGUCUCACUCUUUUGCCCAGGCUGGUCUCAAACUCCAGGGCUCAAGCAAUCCUCUGUCCUCAACCUCCCAAAGUGCUGGGACUACAGUAGGGUAUAACCACAUGACUAAUUUCACAUAUAAAAAUGGAGAACGGGUGCACAUUAAAGAGUAGAGGUGCCUUCCACCAUGACUGUAAGUUUCCUGAGGCCUCUCCAGCCAUGUGGAACUGUGAGUCAAUUAAACCUCUAUUAUUGAUAAAUCAUCCAGUCUCAGGUAUUUCAUCAUAGCAGCAUGAGAACAGACUAAUGCAGUAAAUUGGCACCACAGAGAGUGAUGUGCUGCUAUAAGGGUACUCGAAAAUGUGGAAGUGGCUUUGGAACUGAGUAGCAGGCAGAGGUUGAAACAGUUGGGAGGACUCAGAAAAAGAAAGGAAAAUAUGGGAAAGUUUGGAACUUCCUGGAGACUUGGAGGGCUCAGAAGACAGGAAUAUGUGGGAAAAUUUGGAACUUCCUAGAGACUUGUUGAAUGGCUUUGACCAAAAUGCUGAUAGUGAUAUGGACAAUGAAGACCAGGCUGAGAUGGUCUCAGAUGGAGAUGAAGAACUUAUUGGGAAUUGGAGUAAAGGUCACUCUUGCUAUGCUUUAGCAAAGAGACUGGAGACAUUUUGCCCUAGAAAUAUGUGGAACAUUGAACUUGAGAGAGAUGGUUUAGGGUAUCUGACGGAAGGAAUUUCUAAGCAGCAAACCAUUCAAGAAGAAGCAGAGCUUAAAUGUUUGGAAAAUUUGCAGACUUAUGAUGCAAUAGAAAAGAAAAACCCAUUUUCUGGGAAGUCAAGCCUGCUGCAGAAAUUUUCAUAAAUAACAAGGAGCCAAAUUUCAAUCACCAAGACAAUGAGGAAAAUGUCAGAGACCUUCACAGCAGCCCAUCGCUUCACAGACCCAGAGGCCUAGGAGAGAAAAAGUGUUUUGUGGGCCAGGCCCAAGCGCCCCCCAACCCUGCCCCCCGGCAGCCUUGGGACAUGGUGCCCAGUAUCCCAGCUGCGUCAGCUCCAGCCGUGGUUAAAAGGAGCCAAGGUACAGCUUGGGCCAUUUCUUCAGGGGUACUAGCCCCAUGAUUUGGCAGCUUACAUGUGGUGUUGGGCCUACGGGUGCACAGAAGUCAAGAAUUGAGGUUUAGGAACCUCCACCCAGAUUUCAGAGGAUGUACAGAAACCCCUGGAUGUGCAGGCAGAAGUGUGCUGCAGGGGUAGAGCCCUCAUGGAGAACCUCUGUUGGGCAAUACGAAAGGGAAAUGUGGGGUUGGAGCCUCCACACAGAGUCCCCAGUGGGGCACUGCCUAGUGGAGCUAUGAGAAUUGGGACACCAUUCUCCAGACCCUAGAAUGGUAGAUCUACUGGCAGCUUGCACCAUGUGCCUGGAAAAGUCACAGACACUCAAUGCCGGCCUGUGAAAGCAGCCAGGAGGGGGCGGUACCCUGCAAAGCCACAGGGGCAGAGCUGCCUAAGGCUGUGGGAACUCAUCUCUUGCAUCAGCGUGACCUGGAUAUAAGACAUGGAGUCAAAGGAAAUCAUUUUGGAACUUUAAGGUUUAAUGACUGUCCUAUUGGAUUUGACUUGCAUGGGGCCUCUAGCCCUUUGGCUUUGGCCAAUUUCUCUCCUUUGGAAUGCAUGUAUUUACCCAAUGGCUCUACCCCAUUGCAUCUAGGAAGUAACUAACUUUCUUUUUAUUUUACAGGCUCAUAGGUGGAAGGGUUUGCCUUGUCUCAGAUGAGACUUUGAACUCGGACUUUUGGGUUAAUGCUAGAAUGAGUUAAAACUUUGGGGAACCUUUGGGAAGGCAUGGUUGUGUUUUAAAACAUGAGGACAUGUGAUUUGGGAGGGGCCAGAGGUGGAAUGAUAUGAUUUGGGAGGGGCCAGAGGUGGAAUGAUAUGGUUUGGGUGUGUCCUCACCCAAAUCUAAUCUUGAAUUGUAAUCCCACGUGUCAUGGGAGGGACCCAGUGGGAGGUAAUUGAAUCAUGGGGGUGGUUUCCUCCAUGCUGUUCUUGUGAGAAUGAGUUCUCACGAGAUCUAAUGGUUUUAUAAGUGUCUGGCAUUUCCCUUGCUGGCAUUCCCCUUGCUGGCAUUCUCUCUCUCCUGCCACCCUGUGAAGAGGUGCCUUCCUCCAUGAUUGUAAGUUUCCUGAGGCCUCUCCAGCCAUACAGAAGUACGAGUCAAUUAAACCAUUUUUCUUCAUAAAUUACCCAGUUUCAGGUAUUUCUUCAUAGCAGUGUGAGAACAGACUAAUACAGUGUUACUUCAUAAAUUGCUUACUAAUCGAAAAGGGGAAAAUGUAUUAAUACCUUUAAGAUAGAAAGAUCUGACAAGUAGACAAACUUAACGUUGCAAGUAAUAGAACAUAAUAUUUUGUUUCUCCUCUGCUAUGCAGUAUAAAGUACCUAAAUCAUUACCAACAAACUAUGCUUACCAAAAAUGUUUAUUCUAAAUAAAGCAUCUACUGUGGUUCUCAUUUAUAUAGUAAGUAUAGGAAUUAGAGAAACAAAUGAAGUAGCACCAUUAUGCAUCAAUCAGACAAAUCCAUGAUUUGGGACAUUCUCUAAGUCAACUAAUUUGGCUCUUUUAGAAAGUGAAAGUCAAGAGAAAAUAAAAAUGUAGGAGGCAUGGCAUGGUGGCUCACACCUGUAAUCCCAACACUUAGGGAGGCAGAGGUGGGUGGAUCACUUAAGGCUGGGAGUUUCAGAUCAACCUGGGCAACAUAGUGAGAACUCGUUCUCUUAAACAACAACAACAACAAUAAACUCUUGCCAGCAGAGGUGUGCUAUUAAAAAAAAAAAAAAAGUAAGAGAACUAUCUGGAUUAAAAAUGAUUUCAGAGAAAUAAUCUUUAUUGCAAUAUGAGAAUUUUUCUUUGAAUACUGAAGUUGUUUUUAAAGAUAUAAAAUUUAUUUUGAUGAAAAUUGAGGAAACUUUAAUAUGGACUGAAUCAGAUGACAUGAAAUUAUUAUUAAUUUUUAACAAUUGUGAUAAUGGUAUUGUACUUAUGUAGAAGCAUGUCCUUAUUAGGAUAUGUGUGCUGAAUGUAGGCUUUAAUUGCUGCAAAAGUCUUCCUCAUGUAAAGUCAAAAUUUUUUAGGUACUAACUAUUGGUCUUCAUUCCGCCAACUGGAGUUAAAAGCAUCAGUUGAUACUGUCACAAGAAAAUUAUCUUCUUUGUAUUAGUAAAAUAAUUAAAAUUAAAAUGUAUAUAUACAAGGCAGAGAAUUACAAAAUUUGGGUAUCAAUACUACUAUAUUAAUUUUAUGCUACUAUAGUAUAUGCCCUUUUAGAUGUUUAAUACCUGCUAACAGAUACGUUUAGGUAGAAAUGAUGUAUAUCAGCUAUUUCUCACCAUUUAGAUGCCAUGAAGUUGCUGUGAAUUAAAUAAACGUUUGUUUGGUAAACUGCAGUAACCUAUUUUAAAGUGUUCUUUAAAAGGUAUGUAUAGGCCAGGC